This 142-nucleotide non-coding RNA is filed under the name Dehalogenimonas formicexedens. Lineage: Bacteria; Bacillati; Chloroflexota; Dehalococcoidia; Dehalococcoidales; Dehalococcoidaceae. The record is from RNAcentral.
AAUAACACAACAAUCUAAGGUAGUCCUUCAAUGGAAGGACGCGCAGGUGUAAGUCCGGUGAAAGUCCGGCACAGUCCCGCCUGCUGUAACCGGUAAUAUUACUACCGGGAGUCAGAACCCUGGCCUUAGAUUAAGUGGGCUC